RNAcentral lists this non-coding RNA (45 nucleotides) under Schistosoma margrebowiei. Lineage: Eukaryota; Metazoa; Platyhelminthes; Trematoda; Strigeidida; Schistosomatidae. The record is from RNAcentral.
AUUCAGCUGACGAGUCCCGAACAGGACGAAACGCGCGUCCUGGAU